GAAUGAGUUAGUGUACCCUCUGCUUCAAUUUUCUGAAUAAUGUAAAUAAUUGGUAUCAUUUCUUCCUUAAGUGUUUGGUAGACCAAAUAAGCUCUCAAGGUCCAUCCAUUUGUAGGAGAACAUAGUGUAGUCAAACUUAUAAGACUCCAGACACAUCCAAACAGGUGCUACAUGUGGCAGCUUGCCUUUCUU
Molecule: small nuclear RNA, 192 nt
Filed under: Camelus bactrianus (Bactrian camel)
Lineage: Eukaryota; Metazoa; Chordata; Mammalia; Artiodactyla; Camelidae
Also listed under: 1 other name
Description: 7SK RNA
Rfam family: 7SK RNA (bases 58-192)
About the family: 7SK was discovered as an abundant small nuclear RNA in the mid-70s but a possible function has only recently been suggested.
Source: Rfam by way of RNAcentral